Henosepilachna vigintioctopunctata is the source of this 73-nucleotide non-coding RNA. The record is from the annotation of a GenBank genome assembly. Lineage: Eukaryota; Metazoa; Arthropoda; Insecta; Coleoptera; Coccinellidae.
GUCUUCGUGGCUUAGUCGGGAAAAUACACGACUAUGGUGCGGAAGGAUUCGGGUUCGAGCCCUGAUGGAGACA